This 169-nucleotide non-coding RNA is filed under the name Lachnospiraceae bacterium 28-4. RNAcentral describes it as "Bacterial large subunit ribosomal RNA". It matches the Rfam family "Bacterial large subunit ribosomal RNA", at positions 2285 to 2453 of the family's 2925-position model. The record is from Rfam by way of RNAcentral. Lineage: Bacteria; Bacillati; Bacillota; Clostridia; Lachnospirales; Lachnospiraceae.
GCCUCCGAAAGGGUAUCGGAGGCGCUCAAAGGUCCCCUCAGGAUGGACGGGAACCAUCCGCAGAGUGCAAAGGCAGAAGGGGGCCUGACUGCGACACCGACGGGUGGGGCAGGCAGGAAACUGGGACUUAGUGAUCCGGCGGCAACGGGUGGAAGUGCCGUCGCUCAAC